Long non-coding RNA from Bombus pascuorum, 573 nucleotides. RefSeq lists it as uncharacterized. The transcript has 2 exons. The record is from RefSeq and is a predicted model, not a curated record. NCBI's taxonomy places the organism in Eukaryota, Metazoa, Arthropoda, Insecta, Hymenoptera, Apidae.
GAACAAGUCCUGGAGGAAUGAGAUACAAAAGCGUACCAGAUAACAUAGGAUCGGCCGCGAGAUUUAUAAGACAAGGUUGCUUAUCUUUCUCACGAAAAUCGAGUUCAAUAGCGAUACCACAGCGACUAAUCGCAAGUUGUUCUUCAGUCUUCUUUAGCUGGUGCCUUAAUUUAUCAAUUUCUUGUUGUUUCUGCUUAAUUUCAUCGUUAUUUUGGUUAACCGGUGGGACGGAGUCAAGAAGACGACGUGGAAGAAUACCAAGUUGCUUUUCGUAUCCUUCACGUACACCGCGCAAUCGCAAUACUUCCGCUUUCAAUUCCCUGAGAGAGAGAUCACAAUUAUAUUUAAAAUUAAAAGCUUUAGGUUAGGCUUGUUGCAAACUGGAAAAACUGUAUCGAUAAUAUUUAAUGAUAUUCUUUUGUUUAUCUGUCCCAAAGUGGAAAACUUAUUUUAUACACGAACUUUCGAUUUAUUACAUUCAUAUUGGGAGGAAAUCUGUUAUAUUUUAUUGAAUGUAAUAAUGAAUUAUUAGUUGUUCAUUCAUAAAGAAUAUAUUACCGAAUUAAUUUCUCA